UUAAGUUAUUAAGGGCGCACGGUGGAUGCCUUGGCACUAGAAGCCGAUGAAGGACGUUACUAACGACGAUAUGCUUUGGGGAGCUGUAAGUAAGCUUUGAUCCAGAGAUUUCCGAAUGGGGAAACCCAGCAUGAGUUAUGUCAUGUUAUCGAUAUGUGAAUACAUAGCAUAUCAGAAGGCACACCCGGAGAACUGAAACAUCUUAGUACCCGGAGGAAGAGAAAGAAAAUUCGAUUCCCUUAGUAGCGGCGAGCGAAACGGGAAGAGCCCAAACCAACAAGCUUGCUUGUUGGGGUUGUAGGACACUCUAUACGGAGUUACAAAGGACGACAUUAGACGAAUCAUCUGGAAAGAUGAAUCAAAGAAGGUAAUAAUCCUGUAGUCGAAAAUGUUGUCUCUCUUGAGUGGAUCCUGAGUACGACGGAGCACGUGAAAUUCCGUCGGAAUCUGGGAGGACCAUCUCCUAAGGCUAAAUACUCUCUAGUGACCGAUAGUGAACCAGUACCGUGAGGGAAAGGUGAAAAGCACCCCGGAAGGGGAGUGAAAUAGAACCUGAAACCGUGUGCUUACAAGUAGUCAGAGCCCGUUAAUGGGUGAUGGCGUGCCUUUUGUAGAAUGAACCGGCGAGUUACGAUUUGAUGCAAGGUUAAGCAGUAAAUGUGGAGCCGUAGCGAAAGCGAGUCUGAAUAGGGCGUUUAGUAUUUGGUCGUAGACCCGAAACCAGGUGAUCUACCCUUGGUCAGGUUGAAGUUCAGGUAACACUGAAUGGAGGACCGAACCGACUUACGUUGAAAAGUGAGCGGAUGAACUGAGGGUAGCGGAGAAAUUCCAAUCGAACCUGGAGAUAGCUGGUUCUCUCCGAAAUAGCUUUAGGGCUAGCCUCAAGUGAUGAUUAUUGGAGGUAGAGCACUGUUUGGACGAGGGGCCCCUCUCGGGUUACCGAAUUCAGACAAACUCCGAAUGCCAAUUAAUUUAACUUGGGAGUCAGAACAUGGGUGAUAAGGUCCGUGUUCGAAAGGGAAACAGCCCAGACCACCAGCUAAGGUCCCAAAAUAUAUGUUAAGUGGAAAAGGAUGUGGCGUUGCCCAGACAACUAGGAUGUUGGCUUAGAAGCAGCCAUCAUUUAAAGAGUGCGUAAUAGCUCACUAGUCGAGUGACACUGCGCCGAAAAUGUACCGGGGCUAAACAUAUUACCGAAGCUGUGGAUUGUCCUUUGGACAAUGGUAGGAGAGCGUUCUAAGGGCGUUGAAGCAUGAUCGUAAGGACAUGUGGAGCGCUUAGAAGUGAGAAUGCCGGUGUGAGUAGCGAAAGACGGGUGAGAAUCCCGUCCACCGAUUGACUAAGGUUUCCAGAGGAAGGCUCGUCCGCUCUGGGUUAGUCGGGUCCUAAGCUGAGGCCGACAGGCGUAGGCGAUGGAUAACAGGUUGAUAUUCCUGUACCACCUAUAAUCGUUUUAAUCGAUGGGGGGACGCAGUAGGAUAGGCGAAGCGUGCGAUUGGAUUGCACGUCUAAGCAGUAAGGCUGAGUAUUAGGCAAAUCCGGUACUCGUUAAGGCUGAGCUGUGAUGGGGAGAAGACAUUGUGUCUUCGAGUCGUUGAUUUCACACUGCCGAGAAAAGCCUCUAGAUAGAAAAUAGGUGCCCGUACCGCAAACCGACACAGGUAGUCAAGAUGAGAAUUCUAAGGUGAGCGAGCGAACUCUCGUUAAGGAACUCGGCAAAAUGACCCCGUAACUUCGGGAGAAGGGGUGCUCUUUAGGGUUAACGCCCAGAAGAGCCGCAGUGAAUAGGCCCAAGCGACUGUUUAUCAAAAACACAGGUCUCUGCUAAACCGUAAGGUGAUGUAUAGGGGCUGACGCCUGCCCGGUGCUGGAAGGUUAAGAGGAGUGGUUAGCUUCUGCGAAGCUACGAAUCGAAGCCCCAGUAAACGGCGGCCGUAACUAUAACGGUCCUAAGGUAGCGAAAUUCCUUGUCGGGUAAGUUCCGACCCGCACGAAAGGCGUAACGAUUUGGGCACUGUCUCAACGAGAGACUCGGUGAAAUCAUAGUACCUGUGAAGAUGCAGGUUACCCGCGACAGGACGGAAAGACCCCGUGGAGCUUUACUGUAGCCUGAUAUUGAAAUUCGGCACAGCUUGUACAGGAUAGGUAGGAGCCUUUGAAACGUGAGCGCUAGCUUACGUGGAGGCGCUGGUGGGAUACUACCCUAGCUGUGUUGGCUUUCUAACCCGCACCACUUAUCGUGGUGGGAGACAGUGUCAGGCGGGCAGUUUGACUGGGGCGGUCGCCUCCUAAAAGGUAACGGAGGCGCUCAAAGGUUCCCUCAGAAUGGUUGGAAAUCAUUCAUAGAGUGUAAAGGCAUAAGGGAGCUUGACUGCGAGACCUACAAGUCGAGCAGGGUCGAAAGACGGACUUAGUGAUCCGGUGGUUCCGCAUGGAAGGGCCAUCGCUCAACGGAUAAAAGCUACCCCGGGGAUAACAGGCUUAUCUCCCCCAAGAGUUCACAUCGACGGGGAGGUUUGGCACCUCGAUGUCGGCUCAUCGCAUCCUGGGGCUGUAGUCGGUCCCAAGGGUUGGGCUGUUCGCCCAUUAAAGCGGUACGCGAGCUGGGUUCAGAACGUCGUGAGACAGUUCGGUCCCUAUCCGUCGUGGACGUAGGAAAUUUGAGAGGAGCUGUCCUUAGUACGAGAGGACCGGGAUGGACAUACCUCUGGUGUACCAGUUGUCGUGCCAACGGCAUAGCUGGGUAGCUAUGUGUGGACGGGAUAAGUGCUGAAAGCAUCUAAGCAUGAAGCCCCCCUCAAGAUGAGAUUUCCCAACUUCGGUUAUAAGAUCCCUCAAAGAUGAUGAGGUUAAUAGGUUCGAGGUGGAAGCAUGGUGACAUGUGGAGCUGACGAAUACUAAUCGAUCGAAGACUUAAUCAA
This 2921-nucleotide ribosomal RNA is filed under the name Staphylococcus aureus DAR1082. RNAcentral's name for it is "bacterial LSU rRNA". It matches the Rfam family "Bacterial large subunit ribosomal RNA". The record is from RNAcentral. Lineage: Bacteria; Bacillati; Bacillota; Bacilli; Caryophanales; Staphylococcaceae.